AUUGAACGCUGGCGGCAGGCCUAACACAUGCAAGUCGAGCGAGCGGCGGACGGGUGAGUAAUGUCUGGGAAACUGCCUGAUGGAGGGGGAUAACUACUGGAAACGGUAGCUAAUACCGCAUACCAUCAGAUGUGCCCAGAGGGGGUUAGCUAGUGGGUGGGGUAAUGGGGCACCUAGGCGACGAACCCUAGCUGGUCUGAGAGGAUGACCGGCCACACUGGAACUGAGACACGGUCCAGACUCCUACGGGAGGCAGCAGUGGGGAAUAUUGGACAAUGGGCGCAAGCCUGACGCAGCCAUGCCGCGUGUGUGAAGAAGGCCUUCGGGUUGUAAAGCACUGUCAGCGGAGAGGCGUUACCCGCAGAAGAAGCACCGGCUAACUCCGUGCCAGCAGCCGCGGUAAUUU
RNAcentral lists this ribosomal RNA (406 nucleotides) under uncultured bacterium. RNAcentral's name for it is "partial 16S ribosomal RNA". It matches the Rfam family "Bacterial small subunit ribosomal RNA", at positions 29 to 526 of the family's 1533-position model. The record is from RNAcentral.